UACGUAGGGACCAAGCGUUGUUCGGAUUUACUGGGCGUAAAGGGCGCGUAGGCGGCCUCCGCAAGUCAGUUGUGAAAUCUCCGAGCUUAACUCGGAAAGGUCAACUGAUACUGCGGGGCUAGAGUGCGGAAGGGGCAACUGGAAUUCUUGGUGUAGCGGUGAAAUGCGUAGAUAUCAAGAGGAACACCUGCGGCGAAGGCGGGUUGCUGGGCCGACACUGACGCUGAGGCGCGAAAGCUAGGGGAGCGAACAGG
This 254-nucleotide ribosomal RNA is filed under the name uncultured bacterium. RNAcentral's name for it is "partial 16S ribosomal RNA". It matches the Rfam family "Bacterial small subunit ribosomal RNA", at positions 524 to 776 of the family's 1533-position model. The record is from RNAcentral.